This 107-nucleotide ribosomal RNA is filed under the name Caerostris darwini. Lineage: Eukaryota; Metazoa; Arthropoda; Arachnida; Araneae; Araneidae. The record is from RNAcentral.
ACGGCAGUACCAUGCUGAAUAUACCGGUUCUCGUUAGAUCACCGAAGUUAAGCAUCAUUGGGCGCGGUCAGUACUUGGGUGGGUGACCACCUGGGAACACUGCGUGC